This 371-nucleotide ribosomal RNA is filed under the name Listeria monocytogenes. RNAcentral's name for it is "bacterial SSU rRNA". It matches the Rfam family "Bacterial small subunit ribosomal RNA", at positions 1 to 361 of the family's 1533-position model. The record is from RNAcentral. Lineage: Bacteria; Bacillati; Bacillota; Bacilli; Caryophanales; Listeriaceae.
UUUAUGGAGAGUUUGAUCCUGGCUCAGGAUGAACGCUGGCGGCGUGCCUAAUACAUGCAAGUCGAGCGAACUGACGAGGAGCUUGCUCCUUUGACGUUAGCGGCGGACGGGUGAGUAACACGUGGGUAACCUACCUAUAAGACUGGAAUAACUCCGGGAAACCGGGGCUAAUGCCGGAUAACAUAUCGAACCGCAUGGUUCGAUAGUGAAAGACGGUCUUGCUGUCACUUAUAGAUGGACCCGCGCCGUAUUAGCUAGUUGGUGAGGUAACGGCUCACCAAGGCAACGAUACGUAGCCGACCUGAGAGGGUGAUCGGCCACACUGGAACUGAGACACGGUCCAGACUCCUACGGGAGGCAGCAGUAGGGAA